RNAcentral lists this long non-coding RNA (219 nucleotides) under Mytilus galloprovincialis (Mediterranean mussel). Lineage: Eukaryota; Metazoa; Mollusca; Bivalvia; Mytilida; Mytilidae. The record is from RNAcentral.
CCCCCCCUAAAAAAAAGUGUUAAUUUUCCCCCGGUUUUUUGCUUUUGUGCAAUAUACUAAGCUGUUGAAUAUUUGCUCCAAAAAAAUAUUUAAAGAACUUUUCUUUUAAUUUCGGAAAUCUGAAAUGAGAAAAAUGUCCCCUUUUCAUUUUUUUUAUCUUCCUUUCCCUUAUUUCAAAAAUAAAAUCAUUCCCUCAAGAUAUGAUCAGUUCCUCAAUUC